This 253-nucleotide ribosomal RNA is filed under the name uncultured bacterium. RNAcentral describes it as "partial 16S ribosomal RNA". It matches the Rfam family "Bacterial small subunit ribosomal RNA", at positions 524 to 776 of the family's 1533-position model. The record is from RNAcentral.
UACGUAGGGACCAAGCGUUGUCCGGAUUUAUUGGGCGUAAAGAGCUCGUAGGCGGCCCUCCACGUCGGAUGUGAAAGCUCAGGGCUCAACCCUGAGAUGCCAUUCGAUACGGGAAGGCUAGAGGUAGGUAGGGGAAAGUGGAAUUCCUGGUGUAGCGGUGAAAUGCGUAGAGAUCCGGAGGAACACCAGUGGCGAAGGCGACACGCUGGGCCGUACCUGACGCUAAAGCGCGACAGCAUGGGGAGCAAACGGG